UGUCCCUUAGCUCAGUUGGUAGAGCGAGCGACUGUUAAUCGCUUGGUCCCUGGUUCGAGUCCAGGAGGGACAG
RNAcentral lists this transfer RNA (73 nucleotides) under Methanobrevibacter sp. Its description in RNAcentral is "tRNA-Asn". It matches the Rfam family "tRNA". From Rfam's summary of the family: Transfer RNA (tRNA) molecules are approximately 80 nucleotides in length. Lineage: Archaea; Methanobacteriati; Methanobacteriota; Methanobacteria; Methanobacteriales; Methanobacteriaceae. The record is from RNAcentral.